This is a long non-coding RNA of Hordeum vulgare subsp. vulgare (domesticated barley), 520 nucleotides long. RefSeq lists it as uncharacterized. The record is from RefSeq and is a predicted model, not a curated record. The transcript has 3 exons. NCBI's taxonomy places the organism in Eukaryota, Viridiplantae, Streptophyta, Magnoliopsida, Poales, Poaceae.
AGGUAAGAGCUUUCCAUUUCUUUUGGUCUUGUUUGCAUGCAUGAUGUUUUAUUUUGUUUGAUUAGUUUCUAAGUAUGUUCUUUCUUUUGUCUUAGGGAGUGUAUUAUCACUUUCGUGGAACUAUUUUGAAGGCGUUGUAGUUGAAAAAAAGUUAGAUCAAGGUAAGAGCUUUACAUUUCUGUUGGUCGUGUUUGCAUGCAUGAUGUUUUUUUUGUUCGAUUAGUUUCUAAGUAUGUGUUUAUCUUUUGUCUUAGGAAGUGUAUUAUCACUUUUGUGGAACUAUUUUGUCAUGUGAUAUGAACUACUAAGUUGAAGAUCAAGGUGGAAUUCGCUGAUAUUAUUCUGGUGAUAUAUUAUAUUCGGAAGGAUAUCCUUAUUUAAACCAGAGGUACUAUGGAAAAUUUGUUAGUGUUUUAUGGGCACAUCGUACGUGAGGGUCCUUCUGGUGUGGAUGUGUCUAGGUGCGGGAUGACUACGGUUGUAGUGAAAGACAUGGUUAAUGUAGAGUAUGCGGCAGUUA